GGUUCUGUGGCGCAAUGAAUAACGCGUCUGACUACGGUCCAGAAGAUUCCAGGUUCGACUGCGGGCAGGAUCG
This is a non-coding RNA of Anopheles culicifacies, 73 nucleotides long. The record is from Rfam. NCBI's taxonomy places the organism in Eukaryota, Metazoa, Arthropoda, Insecta, Diptera, Culicidae.